GUGCAGUACCAGACGAGAGUCUUCAGUCAUCCCUGGAAAAACCAUCUGAUACAGAAGUAUCAGAUGGGAAUGCGCAGUCAACGACAGCGCAGCCAAUUGUUAUAGAGGCCCCUGAGCCUUCAACGGAUGAGCACCUUAAUCGAGGUGACAUUCCAAUUGAUAUAGAGGCCCCUGAGCCUGCAACGGAUGAGCACCUUAAUCAAGGUGACAUUUCUAUGCCGGGUAAGCAGUGAUCAAUCUAUUACGAAGAACUUUCCAUGAGAGUGUGAUGUUCGAUCUACUGAUGCUAUCUUGGUCUGUAGAUUGCAAAGGAAAUAAUGGCAAUUCAAUAGCUCCCAAAGCACCGAGAGCAGGAAAAGCACCCUCACCGGAGAGGAUGAAAUAUUGGGGAGAACAUGGCUUUAGCAGGUAACGCGGAAUACACUCCCAUCAGUAGAAGACAACUGCAGUAUGCGUCUAAAUAUUUUCAUUAAUAUAUUGGUUUUGUGUUAAUGCAGUUUGAUUGUCGCUGCUCCUGGGCACGAGGUGGAGAGUGUGGUUGCUGAUUUGCUUCCACUCUUGUCUUACUCGGCCCCGUUUGCUAUUUAUCACCAGUAUCUUCAGGUAAAUCUUCAUUAUUUACAACUGAUACAGAUGCCAGUUCCUACAAAAUGUUUGUCUUGCGGCAUUUCUGCAGAGAAAUUUCCUUUAUAUCCUGUCGCUUCCCUGAAACAUUAGCUUAUGUGUUAAAUUGACCUUUUUUUUUGUUUUAUCCUUAUUUCUGUUUGCUCAUUUUGUAAAGUUUAGUUUUGCUGUUACUUAUCUUUUGUUUUCUGGUGUCUACAUGCAGCCUCUUGCGACUUGCAUGCAUAGUUUGCAAGUAUCGAAAAUGGCUAUUGGGUUACAGAUAACUGAACCCUGGCUUCGAGAGUAUCAGGUCAGUAUGCUAGGCAUUUUUCUUCUUGUUGUUUUUAUAAGCCUGAUUAAUAAUUACCAAAGUGUGGCUGCUUAUAAACCAAUUUUGACAGUAAGGAAUGUAGAGUAAUAAAAUGUUUGAAGGUCCAUAUAUGGAUACCUGUCUGAAGCCUAAAUUACCAAAGUUUCGCUGUUUAUAAACCAAUUUUGUUGCCACCCUACUUGAGUACUCCCUCCGUUUCUUUUUAGUCCGCAUAUAAGGUUUGGUCAAAGUCAAACUUUGUAGAGUUUGACUAACUUUAUAAUAAAAAUUAUAAACAUUCACAAUAUGAAAUCAAUAUUAUCAGAUGCACCAUGAAACGUAUUUUCAUACUAUAUAGUUUUAGUAUUGUAGAUGUUCAUAUUUUUUAAUAUAAAUUUGGUCAAAUUUUGUGUAGUUUGACUUUGACCAAAUCUUAUAUGCGGAGUAAAAAGAAACGGAGGGAGUACUAAUAACUGCUGGGUUGUUGUGGUGUGUGAUGAGCAUGCUUGCAACAAAAUUGGUUUAUAAAUGCAAAAAAAAUGGCCUCUGAAUUAUGAAUGCUACUUAUAAAUUCAACAAAGGGUCUGUGACUAGUGUCGUGAAUUAUGCAGGUAAAUCAUCUAUAAAAACCAGAAACUGUGCUGAUUUCCUUGUUAUUUUAAUCUCCCUUACCUUUGGAUGCAGGUCCUUCCAUUGCGCAGCCACCCACACAUGCAGAUGAACGCGUUUGGUGGGUAUAUCUUGAGCGGCAUCCGGGUACACAAGCCAGACCCGUCGGGAGCACGAGUGCAAGAGAAGUCAUCUGGUGCAACGGAGAGCAUGCUUGUCUCGUUGUAACUUCUUUUUUCUACGGGUUGCAGCGAUACGGUUUGCGUUGCGGCAUCAGGUCUGAGGAGUAUACUUGUAAACAAGUAUGUCUUGCAUCCUUCCCCUGUGGGAAGGACAUGUAACAUAUGCCUGCCGGUAUUCGCCUGUGUUGUAACUGUGGUUGAUUCACAUCCCAGUUUUGAUUAAUUCACUCUCGUACCAGUGGAACAUUGAUAUGCCAUGGACAUGGUUUUCCACAUCAUCAAUUUACCCCUUCCUCUUAAGAAUUUACCACCAUGAAUAAACAUACCUAGUGACUUUGCCUAACUAACAUGUUCUGUUGUCCGAAGAAACUUGACCCGUUUUGCUGUUCAUCAGAGUCAACCCUCUGAGAAAACGAAUUUGGAAAAUACUAAUAUGAAGCACACUUUUAGUUAGUCUGCAAAAGCAUAUUUCAAUGUUAUAAAAGCUUUGGUAGUAAGAUUUGGACUUUUUGGCAAGGUUUGGGAUUUUGGUACUAGAACUCAAAUAUCUGAAAUUUAAAAAACUAUUCAGAAUUAUUUAUUUUGAGAUUUCUUAUUAAAUUUUGAGAAAAAGAUAUCUGCUAUAUUUGAAUUUGAUUUCAAGUGUGUCAAAAGUUUUUGAUAUAAUUUUUCUUUUGAUACCCACUGAAACUACCAAAAAUGAAAUGGUGAACUCUUUUUAUACUGUAUGUAGCAUGUCUAAGAUGUUUCAUCACUUCAAAAGAGAAACUCCAUUGCGUACAACAUCACAAAUUUAACUGCUGCUACCAAGUCUGGAGCACAAGACCAUGCAGUUCAUGGCGAAGAAAAGAAGCUCGUAUAUUUGACGAGAUCACAAAAUGUUGAUGCACAAAAUGCAGUAAAUGGUGCUCCUCUCCUCUCCUAUGGUGAUGCUGAUAUCUUGGGACUUCACACCCCUAAUUUGGCGAUGAUCUACAGGAUUUCCGGAACACAACUGAAGGUCAUGACUUCAAGCAAGCCAGAUGAGAUCAGCAACAUUCUUCUGCUGAGAAAACUAAAUUACUCUCAGAUCACACCUUGUAGCUAGGUGAAUUCAGAGGAUGGUCGUGACAGAAAAUAUAUAGCGAAUUAAGGGUACACGUUCACGCCAGCCAAGGACAUGGCGUCUGGGAUUUACCCCAAGUACAGGAAGUUGAGCUCCAGGGCUAUCAGAUCGAUCUGGCGUUUUGUACCCAUUACAACCAGUGAAAGGUAACUUCUUUUUUGAGCUAGUGAAAGGUAGCUUUUAUAAUGCUAAUAAUGUAAAAGCUGGUGAACAAGGAGACAGUAAAAGUAAUUCAAAAAGUGACAGCUCUAGUCUUCAGAGCCAUUGGAUGCACGAUCAAGGGUGUGGCAGUGUGUCGGAACUCCGUGGAAAUCGGUGGUACGUUGCUGUUAGAUUUGAUGAAGAUAACCACUGGGUGUCGAUUUCUUCAGAUAACAACAUGACAAGUGUCGAUUUCUUCAGAAGCUGCAGUCUGGUUCCUGACAAGGUGUGUAAGUAAUUGGCAUGGUUCUGCCGGUCAGGGUCAGAUUAUUUUAUACUGCACAACACUAAUACCGAAUGACCGAGAUACUAACCUAGGAAAGGCUUCUUCUUCAUUAGCAUUCUUAUUCCGUAGACUUGCAAUUCAAUUCCUUGGCAGCACUCCAAUUCUGAAACGUUUUCAAGUCGGUUAAGCACUAAUAAGAACAUGUUAGCUAGCUAGUGUGCUUCUUGCAGAGUUGCAUUUCACUGUGGCCUUAUUACCUCACAUGAAUAAACGUUCUGCUGGAGUUGCAGUUCUUGGCGAGAACCGUGAGUACAAAACCUUCACCAAUUACUCACACCUGCAAAAAUCGACCGGCCAUUGAGUCAGCUGAUUAUUCAUAGCGUCCCUCUACACAGAGCAGACAUACAUAGCCUCCUUCUUACCUUUGCAGUGUCAGUUUUUCGUGAUAAAAGGCUG
Molecule: long non-coding RNA, 3695 nt
Filed under: Triticum aestivum (bread wheat)
Lineage: Eukaryota; Viridiplantae; Streptophyta; Magnoliopsida; Poales; Poaceae
Description: long non-coding RNA (TAES_LNC019923)
Source: RNAcentral